UCGCUGGCGGCAGGCCUAACACAUGCAAGUCGAACGGCAGCGCGGGGAGCUUGCUCCCUGGCGGCGAGUGGCGGACGGGUGAGUAAUGCGUAGGAAUCUACCUUGUAGUGGGGGAUAACCUGGGGAAACUCGGGCUAAUACCGCAUAAUCUCUUUGGAGCAAAGCGGGGGAUCUUCGGACCUCGUGCUAUAAGAUGAGCCUACGUCGGAUUAGCUUGUUGGUGGGGUAAUGGCCUACCAAGGCGACGAUCCGUAGCUGGUCUGAGAGGACGAUCAGCCACACUGGGACUGAGACACGGCCCAGACUCCUACGGGAGGCAGCAGUGGGGAAUAUUGGACAAUGGGGGAAA
RNAcentral lists this ribosomal RNA (349 nucleotides) under Coxiella burnetii. It matches the Rfam family "Bacterial small subunit ribosomal RNA", at positions 34 to 380 of the family's 1533-position model. Lineage: Bacteria; Pseudomonadati; Pseudomonadota; Gammaproteobacteria; Legionellales; Coxiellaceae. The record is from RNAcentral.